AAGAAGUAGUUGAGGGCUUCCCAUAAGGGUUUCAGCCAUCAAGGAAGAGGAAGCUCUGACCGAUUCAGCUGCUCCUCCCAUCAUUCUCCCAACCGAAUCUCGGCAUAUGCAAGCUAUGGAGUUCUCCAGCAAACCAGAUCUGCCGUUUUCACGGUUCCCUGAGCCGGCAACUCGUCGAUGGUCCGAUGCUCUGUGCCCAGGUCGUAGCUCUCCGCUCAACUCGCUAUUCCCGGGUAGGUCUGCUUUGCUUCCAGAUUCGGCGUCUGCUUAGUGGUUUUUGGGUUGUUAAUUAAGAGUUGGCAUUGAUGGUCCAGGGACAAUGUUCUUUUUCCUUUUUCUUUUUUCUCUCUUUUUUAAAAAUGGAUUUUCUGUUGAAAUAUCGGUAAAGCUUAGAAGUAGAGAAACCAGGCCAGAACAGAUGCUUUAAAAUAGGUUUGCUCUUGAAUUUCUGGUCGAACUUAAAGGUAGUAGUUCCCUAAUUAAAUUACUAUUGUUGAUUGA
Long non-coding RNA from Eucalyptus grandis, 501 nucleotides. RefSeq lists it as uncharacterized. The transcript has 2 exons. The record is from RefSeq and is a predicted model, not a curated record. NCBI's taxonomy places the organism in Eukaryota, Viridiplantae, Streptophyta, Magnoliopsida, Myrtales, Myrtaceae.